GAUUUUUUUGAUGAUGAAGAUGAUGAUGCUGCAAAAAGUAACUCUGAAGUUGGAGAUUCUAGCGCAUGAAGAUCUUCAACGAGCUGGUUGCUGGCAUAUAAACUUGUCUAGAGAGUAAAGCUGGUUGCUGCAGUCUUUAACGAGCAAAGAAUAUGUGAAAGACUUUGUUUAUUUGAAUAUGAAAUUUCUUGCUAUUUAUAUGACUCAAAGCUUUUAAACUUAUUUUGUGACAAUCAAUAAUGUGAAACUUCUUACUAUUUAUAUGACUCAAA
Raphanus sativus (radish) is the source of this 272-nucleotide long non-coding RNA. RefSeq lists it as uncharacterized. The transcript is spliced from 2 exons. Lineage: Eukaryota; Viridiplantae; Streptophyta; Magnoliopsida; Brassicales; Brassicaceae. The record is from RefSeq and is a predicted model, not a curated record.